AGAAGUGUGCCCGAAAUAAAGGACCUCCUUGAUAGGGAGAGUCAUAGGGGUUCAAGUCCCCUCACUUCUU
This 70-nucleotide transfer RNA is filed under the name Craugastor augusti (barking frog). RNAcentral's name for it is "tRNA-Ile". It matches the Rfam family "tRNA". From Rfam's summary of the family: Transfer RNA (tRNA) molecules are approximately 80 nucleotides in length. Their secondary structure includes four short double-helical elements and three loops (D, anti-codon, and T loops). The record is from RNAcentral. Lineage: Eukaryota; Metazoa; Chordata; Amphibia; Anura; Craugastoridae.